This 492-nucleotide ribosomal RNA is filed under the name uncultured bacterium. Its description in RNAcentral is "partial 16S ribosomal RNA". It matches the Rfam family "Bacterial small subunit ribosomal RNA", at positions 29 to 507 of the family's 1533-position model. The record is from RNAcentral.
AGUGAACGCUGGCGGUAGGCCUAACACAUGCAAGUCGAACGGCAGCACAGUAAGAGCUUGCUCUUACGGGUGGCGAGUGGCGGACGGGUGAGGAAUACAUCGGAAUCUACUUUUUCGUGGGGGAUAACGUAGGGAAACUUACGCUAAUACCGCAUACGACCUACGGGUGAAAGCAGGGGAUCUUCGGACCUUGCGCGAUUGAAUGAGCCGAUGUCGGAUUAGCUAGUUGGCGGGGUAAAGGCCCACCAAGGCGACGAUCCGUAGCUGGUCUGAGAGGAUGAUCAGCCACACUGGAACUGAGACACGGUCCAGACUCCUACGGGAGGCAACAGUGGGGAAUAUUGGACAAUGGGCGCAAGCCUGAUCCAGCCAUACCGCGUGAGUGAAGAAGGCCUUCGGGUUGUAAAGCCCUUUUGUUGGGAAAGAAAAGCAGCAGGUUAAUACCCCGCUGUUCUGACGGUACCCAAAGAAUAAGCACCGGCUAACUUCGUG